UAUAAAUCUACCUUUCUGCUGUUGGGAAAUUAAUUUCAGAAACAUCGUUUCUUCCAAACUGUAAAAAUUAUAAAAUACUAAAAGUAAUCCAGUGUGUAUGUGGUCAAAAGAGUAAAAUAUGUAAAGGAUUUAUUAUCCAUUUAAAAAGAGACAAAAAUUGUUCACUCACUGGUUCAAACAGUUCUCCUGCCUCAGCCUCCCGAGUGGGUGGGAUUACAGGUGCCCGCCACCACAGCCAGCUAAUUUCAGGGAUUGAUUUUAAAAGACAAUGCCCACUCUUUCCUUGCCUAACGCAGCCAUGGCUCGUGGUCCCAAGAAGCAUCUGAAGCGGGUAGCAGCUCCAAAGCAUUGGAUGCUGGGUAAAUUGAGUGGUGUGUUUGCUCCUCGUCCAUCCACCGGUCCCCACAAGUUGAGAGAGUGUCUCCCCCUCAUCAUUUUCCUCAGGAACAGACUUAAGUAUGCCCUGACAGGAGAUGAAGUAAAAAAGAUUUGCAUGCAGCGGUUCAUUAAGAUCGAUAGCAAGGUGCGAACUGAUAUAACCCAGCCUGCUGGAUUCAUGGAUGUCAUCAGCACUGACAAGACGGGAGAGAAUUUCCGUCUGAUCUGACACCAAGGGUCGCUUUGCUGUACAUCGUAUUACACCUGAGGAGGCCAAGUACAAGUUAUGCAGGGUGAGAAAGAUCUUUGUGGGCACAAAAGGAAUCCCUCAUCUGGUGACUCAUGAUGCCUGCACCAUCCGCUACCCCGAUCCCCUCAUCAAGGUGAAGAUACCAUUCAGGUUGAUUUGGAGGCUGGCAAGAUUACUGAUUUCGUCAAGUUCGACACUGGUAACUUGUGUAUGGUGACUGGAGGUGCUAACCUGGGAAGAAUUGGUGUGAUCACCAACAGAGAGAGGCACCCUGGAUCUUUUGACGUGGUUCACAUGAAAGAUGCCAAUGGCAACAGCUUUGCCACUCGACUUUCCAACAUUUUUGUUAUUGGCAAGGGCAACAAACCAUGGAUUUCUCUUCCCCGAGGAAAGGGUAUCCGCCUCACCAUUGCUGAAGAGACAAAAGACUGGCGGCCAAACAGAGCAGUGGGUGAAAUGGGUCCCUGGGUGACAUGUCAGACCUUUGUACAUAAUUAAAAAUAUUGUGGCAGGAAAAAAGAAAAGAAAAGAGAGAGAAUGCCCUCUAUGAAUUCUCAGCAUUGGACAACAUUCCUGUGUACUUACUAAGUAUUAGCAAAAACAAAAGUACAUGGAAUGAUUUUAAAUCCUUUUUUCCUGAGUACUAGCUGGUCACUAGAUGAUUAAAUGAAGACAAGCUGGACUGAUUUGAACUGAACUUCAGGUGAAGUGGGACCUUAGCGAGGCAGAAUGCUAGAGAUAGAAGCACCAAGUCCAGAGAGACACAUGGAGAUGACGGAGGAUUUAUUUUAGGAUUAUCUUAGGUUUCAUGUUUCAUAAGUUGGACAGACUCUGAAAGUUCAUAGAAGACUUUUCUAUAUAUUUUUGAAUAUGGAAGACAAGUUACCAAAAAUGAGAAGAAAUGAAUGCAUUUCUGUUUUUUCAGAUGUAGAAAAUGUAUAGAGAUGGUGAGAGACUGUCCAUUUGUGAGGUAAAGAAGGCGUAAAGAGAGCACAUAUGUGUUUAUUUUUUAUUAGACAACCUUUUGUUUUGUAAUAAUAAGAAUUCAUAUUUUACAGAAGACAAAUCAAAGAACUAAACAUUUAGAACCCUUGUUUUUGAUACUUAUCUCCCAUGCUGCCCUCCCUUUAUUCAGUACGUGCAUUUCUUCCCCACUAACUGCAUAUGAAUCGGAUAGCCAUCAGCUUCCUGGAUUAUGUGACAGACACAGUGGCAGUCAUCUGUACUGUAUUUCUUUUUACCCUGGGAGUCAAGAUCUAAAUCUACCAGAAAUGGUUUUUACUAAAAAACCAAGGAUGCGAUUUGUGACACCGUAGCCUCUUCUGCUGGACAAUUGCAUGCUUCUAGGGCCACUUUGUUCUCUGUCAUAUUUUGUGUAUCAUAAUUUCAGUGGCUUCUUUAUUUCUACAGUUCCUCUUGCCCAUCCUCCCCAACGAGAAAGCCUUUUUGGUAGGCUCAGAUUAGGUGACUGACAACUAAAAUUUCCUAUCUGUUGCAAGAGUAUCUCUUAUUUAUAAUGGUUAUCCAGUUAUUUAUAUACAAAGAAACAUUUUUAUAAGAUACUUUAAGAAAAGAGGUUAUUUUUCUUUUUCUUUAAAAAGGAGUUCUGUUCUUUUUAAAACAGAAUCUGACAGGAUCUUGUGUUUUUAAGAGGUGUCAUUCUUUUUUUUAAGCAAAAACUACAGCUUGGAGUUUUUUAAAUACAUAGUGAAUGUUUUGACCAAAUAUAUAUAGUUUUACUUAAAGUAUUUUAACGAUGAGUUUUCUAAGUGGAAGAUCCUAAUAGAAAUUGGCAUGUCCUAGUCAGUGGCAUGGACUAAUAACUUACCUUGAUAACAAAUCCCACUGCUGGCUACUAAGAAGCUUUAUCGGGUUUAAUAGGGAAAAGCCUUGUACUGAUACAUAUUGUUCAUAUGUUUACAUGUAAUGUGUACUUGUGUACAUAGUGUGUACUCACAUGUAUUACAUGCAUAUUAUAUGUGUGGACUGAGUCGCGUGUGUCCUGACUUUAAUGAUUCAGUGCUCAUGUCUGAGGUGUUCCUUUGAGCUCCGAGGUGAUGUGCAUAAAACUUUUAGUCUGCUCCCAGGUGAACCAGGUUAAAUAUGAGGGCUCUGGUUUAAAGAAAGGACCAGACUGCAUCCUGAGGGCUUCCCUCUGCCCCAGGAUUGGUUUCCACAGUCAAGUAGAGAGAAGGAAGUUGGAUCGAAUGAGGGGAGGGCUCAAGGCUGACCCCUCUUCCAAUUACCACAGUUUCUGUCUGUAUACAAAGCCUCUGUACACAUUACAGGAUUCCACUGGGCCCUGUUGGAGGAAUGGCUCCCAUGGCUUUCUUAAUGAUCUUUGUGGAUAUAGCUCUGAUAUUACACUGUGGGUGUUGAACAUGUCAGUCAGGCUGGGUAGGGGUUUCUUACAGAGAAGGGCCUCGUCUAAUUUAACAGCUGCUUCACUCCCUCAUUGCUUCUCUCUACUGGAUCUUAACAGAUGUUUGUUGGGUUAAAUUACAGAUGAUAGAUGAUGAAAUGAUACAUAGUAUACAUAAUUUUGUGGUGUUAUUAAAACAGAUUUUUGUCU
This is a non-coding RNA of Chlorocebus sabaeus (green monkey), 3200 nucleotides long. The record is from RefSeq and is a predicted model, not a curated record. Lineage: Eukaryota; Metazoa; Chordata; Mammalia; Primates; Cercopithecidae.